RNAcentral lists this ribosomal RNA (253 nucleotides) under uncultured bacterium. RNAcentral describes it as "partial 16S ribosomal RNA". It matches the Rfam family "Bacterial small subunit ribosomal RNA", at positions 524 to 776 of the family's 1533-position model. The record is from RNAcentral.
UACGUAGGGUGCGAGCGUUAAUCGGAAUUACUGGGCGUAAAGCGUGCGUAGGUGGUUCGUUGUGUCUGUGGUGAAAGCCCCGGGCUUAACCUGGGAAUGGCCAUGGAAACUGGCGAGCUGGAGUGUGGCAGAGGGGGGUGGAAUUCCGCGUGUAGCAGUGAAAUGCGUAGAUAUCAGGAGGAACACCGAUGGCGAAGGCAGGUCUCUGGGCUGACACUGACGCUCAUGCACGAAAGCGUGGGGAGCAAACAGG